Molecule: ribosomal RNA, 439 nt
Filed under: uncultured bacterium
Lineage: Bacteria
Description: partial 16S ribosomal RNA
Rfam family: Bacterial small subunit ribosomal RNA
Source: RNAcentral
CUACGGGCUGCUCCAGUGAGGAAUAUUGCACAAUGGGGGGAACCCUGAUGCAGCAACGCCGCGUGGAGGAUGACGCAUUUCGGUGUGUAAGCUCCUUUUAUAUGUCAAGAAAAUGACGGUAGCAUAUGAAUAAGCACCGGCUAACUCCGUGCCAGCAGCCGCGGUAAUACGGAGGGUGCAAGCGUUACUCGGAAUCACUGGGCGUAAAGGACGCGUAGGCGGGUUGGAAAGUCAGGUGUGAAAUCCUACAGCUUAACUGUAGAACUGCACUUGAAGCUUCUAAUCUAGAGUAUGGGAGGGGGAGAUGGAAUUAGUGGUGUAGGGGUAAAAUCCGUAGAUAUCACUAGGAAUACCUAAAGCGAAGGCGAUCUCCUGGAACAUUACUGACGCUAAGGCGUGAAAGCGUGGGGAGCAAACAGGAUUAGAUACCCGAGUAGUC